UGAGGAAUAUUGGUCAAUGGCCGAGAGGCUGAACCAGCCAAGUCGCGUGAGGGAAGAAUGUCCUAUGGAUUGUAAACCUCUUUUGUCAGGGAGCAAAGUCACCCACGUGUGGGUGUUGGAGAGUACCUGAAGAAAAAGCAUCGGCUAACUCCGUGCCAGCAGCCGCGGUAAUACGGAGGAUGCGAGCGUUAUCCGGAUUUAUUGGGUUUAAAGGGUGCGUAGGCGGGUUAUCAAGUCAGCGGUAAAAUCGUGGAGCUCAACUCCAUCCAGCCGUUGAAACUGAUGAUCUUGAGUGGGCGAGAAGUAUGCGGAAUGCGUGGUGUAGCGGUGAAAUGCAUAGAUAUCACGCAGAACUCCGAUUGCGAAGGCAGCAUACCGGCGCCCGACUGACGCUGAAGCACGAAAGCGUGGGUAUCGAACA
Molecule: ribosomal RNA, 421 nt
Filed under: uncultured bacterium
Lineage: Bacteria
Description: bacterial SSU rRNA
Rfam family: Bacterial small subunit ribosomal RNA
Source: RNAcentral